RNAcentral lists this ribosomal RNA (252 nucleotides) under uncultured bacterium. RNAcentral describes it as "partial 16S ribosomal RNA". It matches the Rfam family "Bacterial small subunit ribosomal RNA", at positions 524 to 776 of the family's 1533-position model. The record is from RNAcentral.
UACGUAGGGUGCGAGCGUUGUCCGGAAUUAUUGGGCGUAAAGGGCUCGUAGGCGGUUUGUCGCGUCGGGAGUGAAAACACCGGGCUUAACUCGGUGCUUGCUUUCGAUACGGGCAGACUAGAGGUAUGCAGGGGAGAACGGAAUUCCUGGUGUAGCGGUGAAAUGCGCAGAUAUCAGGAGGAACACCGGUGGCGAAGGCGGUUCUCUGGGCAUUACCUGACGCUGAGGAGCGAAAGUGUGGGAGCGAACAGG